UACGUAGGGUGCAAGCGUUAAUCGGAAUUACUGGGCGUAAAGCGUGCGCAGGCGGUUGUGCAAGCCCGAUGUGAAAUCCCCGGGCUUAACCUGGGAAUGGCAUUGGUGACUGUACGGCUAGAGUGUGUCAGAGGGGGGUAGAAUUCCACGUGUAGCAGUGAAAUGCGUAGAGAUGUGGAGGAAUACCGAUGGCGAAGGCAGCCCCCUGGGAUAACACUGACGCUCAUGCACGAAAGCGUGGGGAGCAAACAGG
RNAcentral lists this ribosomal RNA (253 nucleotides) under uncultured bacterium. RNAcentral's name for it is "partial 16S ribosomal RNA". It matches the Rfam family "Bacterial small subunit ribosomal RNA", at positions 524 to 776 of the family's 1533-position model. The record is from RNAcentral.